Poecile atricapillus (Black-capped chickadee) is the source of this 1220-nucleotide long non-coding RNA. RefSeq lists it as uncharacterized. Lineage: Eukaryota; Metazoa; Chordata; Aves; Passeriformes; Paridae. The record is from RefSeq and is a predicted model, not a curated record. The transcript is spliced from 2 exons.
GCCGCCUCCGUGAGGGGGCGAGUCGGGAUCGUGUCACCCGCCCCGCGCUGUGUCACAUCCCCCCGGGCCGUGUCACCCGCUCCUGGCCGGCGCGUGGGCGAAACGCCAUCGUGUCACUCGGCCGGAGGAAGCUCCUGGGCCGAGAGCGGCCCCGCGUUCCCCACCCUCGGCCCGGGAGGCGCCGCUCCGUCCCAACAUGGCGGGUGCUGCCUCUCAUAGCUCGCCCCGGCUGUCAGCGCUGCCGCGGGCACGGUCGGGCCGUGGAGGUCACGGGUGUAGAGUUACUACUGCCCAAAGCCCAGCAGACUCCAGUGCCUUCACCUGCCAGCGAGGUGUGAGCUGUUCCUCCAGAGCAGCUCCUUCCUGGCCCUGGCAGAGCCCAGGGCUCGCAGCCAAGGCUCUGCAUCCAGCCCUCACAGCACAUCAAUCCCCACCACACGCGAUCUUUUCAUCUUGCUUAGUUCACUACACGAUAGCUUAAAACGUACGAGUACUUGUUUUGUUUGAUCUUUUUUUGCUCCAGAAAAUACUGUAUUUGUUUCAUAGGAAGAGGUUAGCCUUAUUUGAUCUGAAUUUAUGGAUGCCUGAGCCAGGAUCCUGUCUGCUAUAGCACCCUGCCUCAAACUAUCUCCAAAUAAAAGAAAAACUCCAGAGAAAAGUCUCCGUACCUUACACAAAGGAAAUGUGAUUAUUCUGUCCCUUUCCUUUUCCCUUUGUGUUUCAGCACAAGAAUGUACUUAAAUUUUCCCUCCGCCAGCCUGUUUUACUAUUUUGAACCCUUAUUUUUUUCUUAGCUGAUUCAAUUUUAUCACCAUUUGCAUAUUGCCUGUUGUUACUGAAGUGUACAGGAUGGCAUUAAACACAUCAGUGUUUAGGUCAGCCUAAGAGUGGACUAAACAACUUGAAUCAUAACUGCUAUGGGCAGCAUCUGCUGUUUUUUGGCUGCUUGUCAAGAUACAUACUUCAAUUUUCUGUUACUGAUUCUACUUUGCCUCACAGAGGUUAAAAUUAUGGUGAUAACAUGGGUUGUAUUUACAUAACUAUCUCCCCUCCUAGUGUUCUCAGAACUGAUAAAGACUGGAAAGUGGACUUGGAUUUCUGGAAACCCUAUUACUGUUUCCUUCACCAAAGGUUCAUAAAGAGAUUUGGUUGCCAUGGAAGAUUAACAUAAAUCCUUAUUAAAAAUAGAAUAAGGAAUAAAAGGUUUUUACAGUAAUAUC